This 306-nucleotide ribosomal RNA is filed under the name Laryngodus luteomaculatus. Its description in RNAcentral is "partial 16S ribosomal RNA". The stretch from base 188 to 306 matches the Rfam family "Bacterial large subunit ribosomal RNA", at positions 2473 to 2591 of the family's 2925-position model. The record is from RNAcentral. Lineage: Eukaryota; Metazoa; Arthropoda; Insecta; Hemiptera; Rhyparochromidae.
UAAGGUAGCAUAAUCAUUUGUCUUUUAAUUGAGGGCUUGUAUGAAUGAUUGGACGAGAAAUUUACUUUCUUUAUUUUAAUUUAUGAAUUUGAUUUUUUAGUUUAAAAAACUUUUAUUUAUUAUUUUUUCAAUUAUUAUUGUUUUUUAUGAUCCUAUUUUAUGGAUUAGAAGAUUAAAUUACCUUAGGGAUAACAGCGUAAUUUUUUUGGAGAGUUCUUAUCGAUAAAAUAAGUUUGCGACCUCGAUGUUGGAUUAAAGUAAUUUUUGGUGUAGGUGCUAAAAUGUUUAAGUCUGUUCGACUUUUAA